This 73-nucleotide transfer RNA is filed under the name Salmo salar (Atlantic salmon). It matches the Rfam family "tRNA". From Rfam's summary of the family: Transfer RNA (tRNA) molecules are approximately 80 nucleotides in length. Their secondary structure includes four short double-helical elements and three loops (D, anti-codon, and T loops). The record is from Rfam by way of RNAcentral. Lineage: Eukaryota; Metazoa; Chordata; Actinopteri; Salmoniformes; Salmonidae.
UCUCGUGUGGCUCAGUUGGUAGAGAGCGGCGCUUGUAACGACAAGGUUGUGGGUUCAAUUCCCACAGGGGGAC